Molecule: ribosomal RNA, 329 nt
Filed under: uncultured bacterium
Lineage: Bacteria
Description: bacterial SSU rRNA
Rfam family: Bacterial small subunit ribosomal RNA
Source: RNAcentral
CUAGAUGUGAAAGCCCCGGGCUCAACCUGGGAUGGUCAUUUAGAACUGGCAGACUAGAGUCUUGGAGAGGGGAGUGGAAUUCCAGGUGUAGCGGUGAAAUGCGUAGAUAUCUGGAGGAACAUCAGUGGCGAAGGCGACUCCCUGGCCAAAGACUGACGCUCAUGUGCGAAAGUGUGGGUAGCGAACAGGAUUAGAUACCCUGGUAGUCCACACCGUAAACGCUGUCUACUAGCUGUGUGUGCCUUUAAGGCGUGCGUAGCGAAGCUAACGCGCUAAGUAGACCGCCUGGGGAGUACGGCCGCAAGGUUAAAACUCAAAUGAAUUGACGG